Molecule: ribosomal RNA, 508 nt
Filed under: uncultured bacterium
Lineage: Bacteria
Description: partial 16S ribosomal RNA
Rfam family: Bacterial small subunit ribosomal RNA
Source: RNAcentral
AUUGAACGCUGGCGGCAUGCCAUACACAUGCAAGUCGAACGGCAGCGGGGGAGAAGCUUGCUUUUCCUGCCGGCGAGUGGCGAACGGGUGAGUAAUACAUCGGAACGUGCCCUGUAGUGGGGGAUAACUAGUCGAAAGAUUAGCUAAUACCGCAUACGACCUGAGGGUGAAAGUGGGGGACCGCAAGGCCUCAUGCUAUAGGAGCGGCCGAUGUCUGAUUAGCUAGUUGGUGGGGUAAAGGCCUACCAAGGCGACGAUCAGUAGCUGAUCUGAGAGGACGAUCAGCCACACUGGGACCGAGACACGGCCCAGACUCCUACGGGAGGCAGCAGUGGGGAAUUUUGGACAAUGGGCGAAAGCCUGAUCCAACAAUGCCGCGUGUGUGAAGAAGGCCUUCGGGUUGUAAAGCACUUUUGUCCGGAAAGAAAUGGCUCUGGUUAAUACCUGGGGUCGAUGACGGUACCGGAAGAAUAAGGACCGGCUAACUACGUGCCAGCCGCCGCCGUAA